This is a long non-coding RNA of Grus americana (Whooping crane), 1628 nucleotides long. RefSeq lists it as uncharacterized. The transcript has 6 exons. NCBI's taxonomy places the organism in Eukaryota, Metazoa, Chordata, Aves, Gruiformes, Gruidae. The record is from RefSeq and is a predicted model, not a curated record.
CUUCCUCCGUCCUGAGUUAUCCAGGUACUAGGAGGGGAGCAAGUCAAGCUGGUUUUGGAAGUGUUUUGUUAUAUGCUCUUCAUUUAUGUGAGAGAUUUUUUUCUGUGGAUCUUUUUCUAAGGUCCAGUACAAUUCUACUGUGUCUGAGAACCAAUCUUUAAGGAGAGCUUCACUGGUCUGAAGAAAGACCCAACACCAGGACUUUCAUCUACACCUAGGUUUCUAGAGAACUUGACAUUUUCUAGGAUCAGAUCUGAAGAGAAGCAAGAUAGUUCUACUACCUUUUUUGCAAAAGCAAGCAUCGUUGAAGAAAUUCCAGAAAGACUCAGAAAAGCUAGUGGACCAAAUCAGAAGAUAACCUUUUAUGCAGAGAAAAUACAGCUCUGGAAAAAAACAUAUUGAAAAUAGCUACCAGUAUGAACUAUCAGAGUCAUAUCAGCUAAUGCCUUCUUUUGGAAUCGGUGAGAAUUGCUGCUAGCGGCAGCCAGGCCUUCGGUUCCAAAGUCUGUCUUGAGAGAAGAAACCUGGAUGGAUUAUGACAACUGACUGACUUGCGGCAGGCAGCAUAAAACCAAAAUUCUUCUCCCAUUUGAAAAUAUGGGCGUCUAAGAGCUUCUGAAGAAACAGUAGUCCAUGGAAGGAGGUACCUACAAGCCCCAGAAACCAAUCCGAGGACACAGUUUCCUAAUUCCUGUUCCCAGCUGCAUUCCUUGUGGAUAAAAGGGUAGAGGCCGUGUAGCCAAGAAAAGCACAGGACAGCUGGGGUCUGUUCUGCCAGAGGAUCUAUAUGCGUGAAAAGUCUGAAUAAAACAACCCACUGAGAACGCGUGUGGAACAGAGGGACGAGCGGCGCGGGCUGAGCGAGGCUGAAUGGCCCCUUGUCCCUCUGCACGUACGCAGAAGCGCUCAUGAAAAAGCUUACACUGUAAUUCCUAAAUGUUAUUAAAUCGAAAUGGUUUCACUGGCAGGGCUGAAUGAUUUUUAUACAGGGAUUUUUAAGGAGAUGGACCAUAAAUUUUAGCAAUGCUGGGCAGUAUUUUAUAGCUCUAUAGGCCAGAUGAGGUUUGUGGGUCAUUUUGAAGCCCUUGCUAGCUAAACAAGCAAGCAGCGUGUUUAACUCCAUUGUCAUUAAUGGGAAAGGAACCGUUGAGAUGCUUCUCGUAAAACACUCAGAAAAAUUUGGUGAAGCAUAAUGUUUAGAGCAAAACAAAAACAAUCAAUCAAGGAGAAAGGAUGAAUUAAUCUUAUUGCUGCCAGAUCACAGAGAAGGGACUCAAAAUGUCAGGUAGUUCAGAAGAGCUGUAGUUAAGCAUUUAAACUUUUCCCGGUGUACUUAGACAAGAGCUAGUAUUAUAAGAUGCAUAUUGGGUUUUUACUGAUAAAUUUAAUCUAGUUGUCUGGUGAUCAGAUGCAGUAGAAAUGGAAAUGUAGAAGUAAAAGGAAAGUAGAAAAGAAUUCUGAGACAUUUUGAGCACGUUAACGAAAGAAAAGGUCUUUUCUCAGAUUCAUGGUAUAGAAAAACAGUGUAUUUGUGAAAGAUAAAAUAUAAUAGAUAAUAAUUGCAAAAGAAUUUGCUUGUGUCUGAAUCCUGAAGAAAUUUUCUUCAAGAUUGCGUUUUUAUUACUGUU